UUGCGUGGCGGCGUGCUAUAAUGCAGUCGUACGCUUCUUUUUCCACCGGAGCUUGCUCCACCGGAAAAAGAGGAGUGGCGAACGGGUGAGUAACACGUGGGUAACCUGCCCAUCAGAAGGGGAUAACACUUGGAAACAGGUGCUAAUACCGUAUAACAAUCGAAACCGCAUGGUUUUGAUUUGAAAGGCGCUUUCGGGUGUCGCUGAUGGAUGGACCCGCGGUGCAUUAGCUAGUUGGUGAGGUAACGGCUCACCAAGGCCACGAUGCAUAGCCGACCUGAGAGGGUGAUCGGCCACAUUGGGACUGAGACACGGCCCAAACUCCUACGGGAGGCAGCAGUAGGGAAUCUUCGGCAAUGGACGAAAGUCUGACCGAGCAACGCCGCGUGAGUGAAGAAGGUUUUCGGAUCGUAAAACUCUGUUGUUAGAGAAGAACAAGGAUGAGAGUAACUGUUCAUCCCUUGACGGUAUCUAACCAGAAAGCCACGGCUAACUACGUGCCAGCAGCCGCGGUAAUACGUAGGGGGCAAGCGUAAGA
This 538-nucleotide ribosomal RNA is filed under the name Enterococcus durans. RNAcentral's name for it is "bacterial SSU rRNA". It matches the Rfam family "Bacterial small subunit ribosomal RNA", at positions 37 to 537 of the family's 1533-position model. The record is from RNAcentral. Lineage: Bacteria; Bacillati; Bacillota; Bacilli; Lactobacillales; Enterococcaceae.